UCGGAUGGUCGCAUGGCGACCGAGGAAGAUUCAUCGCUUCAGGAGGGUCUCGCGGCCUAUCAGCUAGUUGGUGGGGUAACGGCCUACCAAGGCAACGACGGGUAGCUGGUUUGAGAGAACGAUCAGCCACACUGGGACUGAGACACGGCCCAGACUCCUACGGGAGGCAGCAGUGGGGAAUCUUGCGCAAUGGGCGAAAGCCUGACGCAGCAACGCCGCGUGCGGGAUGACGGCCUUCGUGGUUGUAAACCGCUUUCAGCAGGGACGAAAAUGACGGUACCUGCAGAAGAAGCCCCGGCUAACUACGUGCCAGCAGCCGCGGUAAUACGUAGGGGGCAAGCGUUGUCCGGAUUCAUUGGGCGUAAAGAGCUCGUAGGCGGUUCAGUAAGUCGGGUGUGAAAGCUCCGAGCUCAACUCGGAGAGGCCACCCGAUACUGCUGUGACUUGAGUCCAGUAGAGGAGCGUGGAACUCCUGGUGUAGCGGUGGAAUGCGCAGAUAUCAGGAA
RNAcentral lists this ribosomal RNA (506 nucleotides) under uncultured bacterium. RNAcentral's name for it is "bacterial SSU rRNA". It matches the Rfam family "Bacterial small subunit ribosomal RNA", at positions 173 to 703 of the family's 1533-position model. The record is from RNAcentral.